UACGUAGGGGGCAAGUGUUAUCCGGAUUUACUGGGUGUAAAGGGAGCGUAGGUGGUUUGGUAAGUCAGAAGUGAAAGCCCAGGGCUCAACCCUGGGACUGCUUUUGAAACUAUCAAACUAGAGUGCAGGAGAGGUAAGUGGAAUUCCUAGUGUAGCGGUGAAAUGCGUAGAUAUUAGGAGGAACACCAGUGGCGAAGGCGACUUACUGGACUGUAACUGACACUGAGGCUCGAAAGCGUGGGGAGCAAACAGG
RNAcentral lists this ribosomal RNA (253 nucleotides) under uncultured bacterium. RNAcentral describes it as "partial 16S ribosomal RNA". It matches the Rfam family "Bacterial small subunit ribosomal RNA", at positions 524 to 776 of the family's 1533-position model. The record is from RNAcentral.